CGACUCUCGGCAACGGAUAUCUCGGCUCUCGCAUCGAUGAAGAACGUAGCGAACUGCGAUACUUGGUGUGAAUUGCAGAAUCCCGUGAACCAUCGAGUCUUUGAACGCAAGUUGCGCCUGAAUCCAUUUGGACGAGGGCACGUUUGCCUGGGUGUCACAC
Molecule: ribosomal RNA, 160 nt
Filed under: Eugenia brongniartiana
Lineage: Eukaryota; Viridiplantae; Streptophyta; Magnoliopsida; Myrtales; Myrtaceae
Also listed under: 1 other name
Description: 5.8S ribosomal RNA
Rfam family: 5.8S ribosomal RNA
About the family: 5.8S ribosomal RNA (5.8S rRNA) is a component of the large subunit of the eukaryotic ribosome.
Source: RNAcentral